Molecule: microRNA precursor, 204 nt
Organism: Oryza sativa Indica Group (long-grained rice)
Lineage: Eukaryota; Viridiplantae; Streptophyta; Magnoliopsida; Poales; Poaceae
Rfam family: MIR812 microRNA precursor family
Source: Rfam
UCUCUGUCCCAAAAUAUUUUUCGCACCCAAUUUUAAUCGUCCGUCUUAUUUGAAAUAUUUUUAUAAUUAGUAUUUUUGUUGUUAUAAGAUAAUAAAAUACGAAUAGUACUUUACUCGUGACUCAUGUUUUUAAUUUUUUUUUAAAAAAUUUCAAAUAAGACGAGUAGUCAAAGUUGUGCAUGGAAAACCAUAACUGCACUUAUU